RNAcentral lists this ribosomal RNA (510 nucleotides) under uncultured bacterium. RNAcentral describes it as "partial 16S ribosomal RNA". It matches the Rfam family "Bacterial small subunit ribosomal RNA", at positions 28 to 507 of the family's 1533-position model. The record is from RNAcentral.
GACGAACGCUGGCGGCGUGCUUAACACAUGCAAGUCGAACGAAGAGCGAUGGAAGCUUGCUUCUAUCAAUCUUAGUGGCGAACGGGUGAGUAACGCGUAAUCAACCUGCCCUUCAGAGGGGGACAACAGUUGGAAACGACUGCUAAUACCGCAUACGAUCUAAUCUCGGCAUCGAGGAUAGAUGAAAGGUGGCCUCUACAUGUAAGCUAUCACUGAAGGAGGGGAUUGCGUCUGAUUAGCUAGUUGGAGGGGUAACGGCCCACCAAGGCGAUGAUCAGUAGCCGGUCUGAGAGGAUGAACGGCCACAUUGGGACUGAGACACGGCCCAGACUCUUACGGGAGGCAGCAGUGGGGAAUCUUCCGCAAUGGACGAAAGUCUGACGGAGCAACGCCGCGUGAGUGAUGACGGCCUUCGGGUUGUAAAGCUCUGUUAAUCGGGACGAAAGGCCUUCUUGCGAAUAGUGAGAAGGAUUGACGGUACCGGAAUAGAAAGCCACGGCUAACUACGUG